UACGUAGGUGGCAAGCGUUGUCCGGAAUUAUUGGGCGUAAAGCGCGCGCAGGCGGUUCCUUAAGUCUGAUGUGAAAGCCCCCGGCUCAACCGGGGAGGGUCAUUGGAAACUGGGGAACUUGAGUGCAGAAGAGAAGAGUGGAAUUCCACGUGUAGCGGUGAAAUGCGUAGAGAUGUGGAGGAACACCAGUGGCGAAGGCGACUCCUUGGUCUGUAACUGACGCUGAGGCGCGAAAGCGUGGGGAGCAAACAGGAUUAGAUACCCUGGUAGUCCACGCCGUAAACGAUGAGUGCUAAGUGUUAGAGGGUUUCCGCCCUUUAGUGCUGCAGCAAACGCAUUAAGCACUCCGCCUGGGGAGUACGGCCGUAAGGCUGAAACUC
RNAcentral lists this ribosomal RNA (380 nucleotides) under uncultured Bacillus sp. RNAcentral's name for it is "bacterial SSU rRNA". It matches the Rfam family "Bacterial small subunit ribosomal RNA", at positions 524 to 902 of the family's 1533-position model. The record is from RNAcentral. Lineage: Bacteria; Bacillati; Bacillota; Bacilli; Caryophanales; Bacillaceae.